GGCCUGGUAGCAGAUGGUCUGCGCCUGCGUUUGAUUGAUGACAGAUACUUAGUCGUGAAAAUUAUACAGGUCAUGCUCGUUCAAAUCGAGCCUGGGCCA
This is a non-coding RNA of Mycena leptocephala, 99 nucleotides long. The record is from the annotation of a GenBank genome assembly. NCBI's taxonomy places the organism in Eukaryota, Fungi, Basidiomycota, Agaricomycetes, Agaricales, Mycenaceae.